CCUACGGGAGGCAGCAGUGAGGGAAUAUUGGUCAAUGGGCGCAAGCCUGAACCAGCCAUGCCGCGUGCAGGAAGACGGUCCUAUGGAUUGUAAACUGCUUUUAUACAGGAAGAAACACUCCCUCGUGAGGGAGCUUGACGGUACUGUAAGAAUAAGGAUCGGCUAACUCCAGUGCCAGCAGCCGCCGGUAAU
This 192-nucleotide ribosomal RNA is filed under the name uncultured bacterium. RNAcentral describes it as "partial 16S ribosomal RNA". It matches the Rfam family "Bacterial small subunit ribosomal RNA", at positions 338 to 524 of the family's 1533-position model. The record is from RNAcentral.